UACGUAGGGGGCAAGCGUUGUCCGGAUUUACUGGGCGUAAAGAGCGUGUAGGCGGCCAAACAGGUCCGUUGUGAAAACUGGAGGCUUAACCUCCAGACGUCGACGGAAACCGCAUGGCUAGAGUCCGGAAGAGGAGAGUGGAAUUCCUGGUGUAGCGGUGAAAUGCGCAGAUAUCAGGAAGAACACCAAUGGCGAAGGCAGCUCUCUGGGACGGUACUGACGCUGAGACGCGAAAGCGUGGGGAGCGAACAGG
Molecule: ribosomal RNA, 253 nt
Filed under: uncultured bacterium
Lineage: Bacteria
Description: partial 16S ribosomal RNA
Rfam family: Bacterial small subunit ribosomal RNA
Source: RNAcentral